This 253-nucleotide ribosomal RNA is filed under the name uncultured bacterium. Its description in RNAcentral is "partial 16S ribosomal RNA". It matches the Rfam family "Bacterial small subunit ribosomal RNA", at positions 524 to 776 of the family's 1533-position model. The record is from RNAcentral.
UACGGAGGUCCCAAGCGUUGUUCGGAUUCAUUGGGCGUAAAGGGUGUGUAGGUGGCGCCGUAAGUCGGGUGUGAAAUUUCGGAGCUUAACUCCGAAACUGCAUUCGAUACUGCGGUGCUUGAGGACUGGAGAGGAGACUGGAAUUCAUGGUGUAGCAGUGAAAUGCGUAGAGAUCAUGAGGAAGACCAGUGGCGAAGGCGGGUCUCUGGACAGUUCCUGACACUGAGACACGAAGGCCAGGGGAGCAAACGGG